RNAcentral lists this ribosomal RNA (460 nucleotides) under uncultured bacterium. RNAcentral describes it as "partial 16S ribosomal RNA". It matches the Rfam family "Bacterial small subunit ribosomal RNA", at positions 338 to 795 of the family's 1533-position model. The record is from RNAcentral.
CCUACGGGUGGCAGCAGUGAGGAAUAUUGGUCAAUGGGCGCGAGCCUGAACCAGCCAAGUCGCGUGAGGGAAGACGGCCCUACGGGUUGUAAACUCCUUUUGCCGGGGAGCAACGGGCGCCACGUGUGGCGCCACUGAGAGUACCCGGAGAAAAAGCAUCGGCUAACUCCGUGCCAGCAGCCGCGGUAAUACGGAGGAUGCGAGCGUUAUCCGGAUUUAUCGGGGUUAAAGGGUGCGUGUGCGGAGCGUUAAGUCAGUGGUCAAAUUGAGGGGGUAAACCCCUUCCCGCCGUUGAAACUGGCGCUCUUGAGUGGAAGAGAAGUAUGCGGAAUGCGUGGUGUAGCGGUGAAAUGCAUAGAUAUCACGCAGAACCCCGAUUGCGAAGGCAGCAUGCCGGCUUCCGACUGACGCUGAAGCACGAAAGCGUGGGGAUCGAACAGGAUUAGAUACCCUGGUAGUC